UUUCAUUCCUUUUCACAUUUUGGCACAUGCCGAGUCAGUACUUGACCGUGUGUAUCCGCGCCCGUAAAGCCUAAUGUAUUUGUUAAAAUCAUUCAAAAACCGUAGAAAAUCGUGCUAAACCUUUUAGCAUUCGCAGCAGUUUUGUGUUUUCGCAAAAGAAAAACGUCAGUGUAGAAAGAGGUCAGCAGAAGUGCAAAAGGAUUUACUCUGCCUGCCAGGAGAUUGGGAAGCAUCGUUAUAUCAGUGUGAUCACAGCCAGAGACGGGGGAAAGCAGCCACAAGAUGUCGUUCGAGGAGACUUCCGCUGAUCGCAAUGUGGAGAUUUGGAAAAUAAAGAAACUUAUCAAAAGUUUGGAAAUGGCCCGAGGCAAUGGCACGAGCAUGAUUUCGUUGAUCAUUCCACCGAAGGACCAGAUUAGCCGUGUGAGCAAGAUGUUGGCCGAUGAAUUCGGCACGGCUUCCAACAUCAAAUCCCGCGUAAACCGUCUGUCCGUACUGGGUGCCAUUACCUCGGUCCAGCACCGGCUCAAACUAUACACCAAAGUGCCUCCGAAUGGACUCGUGAUCUACUGCGGUACGAUUGUCACCGAAGAGGGAAAAGAGAAGAAGGUCAACAUUGACUUUGAACCGUUCAAACCGAUCAAUACCUCUUUAUACUUAUGCGAUAACAAAUUCCACACUGAAGCACUGACGGCCCUGCUGGCAGACGACAAUAAGUUCGGUUUCAUCGUGAUGGACGGUAACGGUGCGUUGUUCGGUACACUCCAGGGUAACACACGAGAAGUACUGCACAAAUUUACCGUGGAUCUGCCGAAGAAGCACGGUCGUGGUGGUCAGUCUGCAUUACGUUUCGCUCGUCUGCGUAUGGAAAAGCGUCACAACUAUGUUCGAAAGGUAGCGGAAGUGGCCACCCAACUGUUCAUUACCAACGACAAGCCAAACAUUGCCGGACUCAUUCUUGCUGGUAGUGCGGACUUCAAGACAGAACUCAGUCAGUCAGAUAUGUUCGAUCCGCGAUUGCAAUCGAAAGUGAUCAAACUGGUAGAUGUUUCGUACGGUGGUGAGAACGGUUUUAACCAGGCCAUCGAGCUAGCAGCCGAGUCAUUGCAGAACGUUAAGUUCAUUCAGGAGAAGAAGCUGAUCGGGCGAUACUUUGAUGAAAUUUCACAGGACACGGGCAAGUACUGCUUUGGCGUUGAGGAUACCUUGAAGGCGUUGGAGCUGGGCUCGGUUGAAACGCUUAUCUGCUGGGAGAACUUGGACAUUCAACGCUAUGUGUUGAAGAACCACGUUAGUGCGACAUCCACUACAGUAUUGCAUCUAACCCCUGAGCAGGAGAAGGACAAGUCCCACUUCACCGACAAGGAGAGUGGUGUCGAGAUGGAAUUGGUCGAAUCUCAGCCACUGCUAGAAUGGCUUGCGAACAACUACAAGAGCUUCGGCGCUACUUUGGAAAUUAUCACUGACAAGUCACAGGAGGGCAGUCAGUUUGUGCGAGGAUUUGGUGGAAUUGGAGGUAUUCUACGUUAUAAAGUUGAUUUUCAGUCGCUGCAAGCAGACGAGCCACUAGACGAUGUUGACCUUGACGAUUACUAAAUCAAUUACCUUGUAUUCCUCCUAUGUUUGCAUUCAGGACAAACAGCGAAAUGACAUUAAACACACACAUACACACAACAAAUACUUUCAAGACACUCUUUCUGACUACUCUAUAAUCAGGAAACGCGUUCUAAGUCGAUUUUUGCGAGUAGAAAAACAAAUAAAUUUCAAUCUAGCGAAGUAAGCGCCAGCGAAUAAGAGCAAGUGUGGUUGGGCAUUCCUUCCACUAAAAAGAAAUUUGACGCGGCGAAUUUCAUUCCAAGAGAAAACCAAAACGAUAUGAAAUAAAAAUGGAAUACUACAGAAAACAACAACCACACAAACAUACAUAAAGUCUAAUAGUUAUUAUAAUCAGUAAAAUUCUAUUCGGUCAACUGAUGAGAUGUAGCAACGGUUGUCGGUUCCGAGCCUGCGUGAGCGUGUAUUUAGAUAAAAACGAAACAUAGAUACUGUUUAUAUAAAUAUUCAAAGGCAUCCUCCGAUGCGUUCGGAGAGGGGGUUCGUUCCACUCGUAUCUUUUCUAACUUCUUCCCGUGAGAUAGAGCUGGAUGCGAUUUUCGUCGAUUGAAGGAAGCAAAACUCCCCACUCCCUAGGAGAUUCAUCGCAGGAUGCCUGAUUUUUAUGGUGAUAUAUCAUUGAAAUUAAUAAUAACAUUAUAAUAACAAUUGAUAUGCAACAAUCAAAAUACCAACAUGUUUGAGCAGAGGAAUAAUUGAAAUUAUCGCGAAGAACAUUAGACAUUAAAACAAGUUGUACCACCAGAACUUGUGUCCAAGGAGACGACAGAAUUUCUCUAGAAAGUGUUUCUUUUGAUGAGGCUGAAUCGGUAGGGAAACUUCAAUUUUAGAUUGCGUCCAGUUAGAGGGCGUAUGCGUUUUAUAUGUCUUAUGUUUUGUUUAGAUAUGCACUCACGAAAAAUAAUACAAUAUCACUACGGUACGAAACAUCAGAUUAGAACGACGGUCUGGCAAUUGAUUCAAAAACAAAACGUGGUCACAACGAUGGCUGGGCAAGACUCUACACCAAGAACUCACACACCAGAUAUGUACAAGGGGGUGUGUUUUUGCAAACAUGAUGCGAAUAAACUGGUGCUUUGUGGUGAAUCUGAAAAACGGCAUUUGUGUACGCAUAUUUACCACUAACGGCUCGUGGGGAAAAAGGUAUUCUGCGCUACAAAGUAGAUUUCCAAAGUAUGCAACUAGACGAACUGGACAACGAUUGUUUCGAUUUAGAAGAUUAUUAAAUUUUUAUGUUUCUGAAAUUAUCUCUCAUACACACAUACACACACACGCAGACAGAUUAGGAAAUAUACGAAAAUAGGAGAAAUGUCGGUGGAAUAGACACACACUUUUCUUUUAUUAUUGUGUGCAUGAUAGCCGUAAAGUAAAACAACUAAAGUAAAGUCGUCUCAUACCUACAAUCGGAACGAUUGAUAUCAAGAAGUCCAACACAGUCACAGAGGAUCGUUUGUCUAGUUUCUUUUACAACGUGCAAAGAAAAGCCAGGGAAAAUUCUAAAAAAAACUCCCACAAUACACCAACCGAAAAGAUGGCGGGAUUCUCUUCCAACGCGCAAUGGACACUUGUUGGUUUAGAGAGGGGUAGACAGGUAGUAGUAUCACUAGUUCAAGUAAAAAGGCUCAUGUAGUAGUGAUUCAGUCUCACCUUGCUGUAUAUACACGUUUGUUUGGAUCUUUUGAUUGUACCCAGUGCUAAUGAAGGCAAACAAAAGUAUACACUAUUUUAAACAUAUAAUGGAUAAGAACUUAAUCGUAAUAUACUUCGCUUAUUAGCACGACCAGAUUCGACAAGACUUGAGAUAAUAGCAUCCAGAUCGUUCGUUUCCAUCUCAUGGCUGUAAGCUUAAAAACGUUGCUCCGUUUUUUCUUUCUAAAUUGUGUAAUAACAGGACUAAAUAUUAUGCACAUCUCAA
This is an RNA transcript of Toxorhynchites rutilus septentrionalis, 3529 nucleotides long. It is a transcript of the gene named eukaryotic peptide chain release factor subunit 1, with no coding region annotated. Lineage: Eukaryota; Metazoa; Arthropoda; Insecta; Diptera; Culicidae. The transcript is spliced from 9 exons. The record is from RefSeq and is a predicted model, not a curated record.